GUUAACUCUUUUACAUUCUGUCUUCAGCUGAGCAUUUGUAGACGCUUGCCUUUUUUUUCUCUUUGAGGAAUUUAUUUAAAACAGAAAUCAAACAAGGAAGUGGAGACAGCUGUGAACGAGACAACACAUGAACACGAGGACCAAUGACUAGAGAAAACUGGAGACACACCAAAACAUACACGUGCCUAUGAAAACGGCUUGGCACGCAGCACUCGUGAGGGGGGAAUCAUCCCUGACAUUUAGCUUCUGUCAUUGCUUGUCCAGAUUUUUUCUUUCCAUGUUUUUAAAAUGAAGCAGAAAUACCCAGAGAUGGCAUGUUCCCGAGAAACUGGACAGCCCUCAAUCUUGAAGAGGGAAAAAUGCCGACACCUGUAGACUCUGUGUAAUGUACAAAAAAAGUCACAAGUCUCGAUGUGAGUACAAAGGAAUUAAAUGUGUAAUAGACCGAACGCAUCAAUAUGAACCUGUGGUUUGAGUUUCAGUUGCUGUCAGAGCUGCAGUUAUGAAAUAAAUAAAUAAAUUCUU
This is a long non-coding RNA of Silurus meridionalis, 525 nucleotides long. RefSeq lists it as uncharacterized. The transcript is spliced from 2 exons. Lineage: Eukaryota; Metazoa; Chordata; Actinopteri; Siluriformes; Siluridae. The record is from RefSeq and is a predicted model, not a curated record.